Molecule: ribosomal RNA, 395 nt
Filed under: uncultured bacterium
Lineage: Bacteria
Description: partial 16S ribosomal RNA
Rfam family: Bacterial small subunit ribosomal RNA
Source: RNAcentral
UGGGGAAUCUUGCGCAAUGGGCGAAAGCCUGACGCAGCCAUGCCGCGUGAGUGAUGAAGGCCUUAGGGUUGUAAAACUCUUUCACCGGGGACGAUAAUGACGGUACCCGGAGAAGAAGCCCCGGCUAACUUCGUGCCAGCAGCCGCGGUAAUACGAAGGGGGCUAGCGUUGCUCGGAAUUACUGGGCGUAAAGGGCGCGUAGGCGGAUCAGCAAGUUGGGGGUGAAAGCCCGGGGCUCAACCUCGGAAUUGCCUUCAAAACUGCUGAUCUAGAGUACGGGAGAGGUGUGUAGAACUCCGAGUGUAGAGGUGAAAUUCGUAGAUAUUCGGGAAGAACACCAGUGGCGAAGGCGACACACUGGCCCGUUACUGACGCUGAGGCGCGAAAGCGUGGGG